GCGCUUCCUAUACUGAAGUCUGAAUGGAUUAGCUACAUCAUCUCUUUUAUAUUGUAAAUGUAUGCUACUAUCAUUGUAAAAGCCAGUCUAUCGACUGACGCAGCUAGUUCAACUGUGUGGCGUUACACACACAAAAGUAAACGCGUGGAUAUCCAACAAUUGUGCUGAUUUUCAUUUGACAUUCAUUCCAUUUAAGACGAUCAACGGCGAGUUGUGGUCUGAUGAAGAAACAUUAUUUAACUCGUGUGGCGCUCUUCGGGAACAUGUAAAUGUGGUGGCACACGUGGUACCACCAUUAAAGAUUCGUAGUUCUUUUCUUAAAGAUUCGGAGUUCGAAACAGCGUUGAUUGAAUAACUAUUCGAGGAGAGAUGUAGUCAGGACUCCAACCUGGCGGCAGCAGUGCCAAAGGUAGCGCUCGGGCAGCGUGUGGCGUGUGACGCGUGACGCGGCAUACACACACUUAUCUAAAUACUUAGUAUAUAUAUGUAUGUAUAGUAGCGGCGCGAGCAUCGUACAGGAACAAAUAACAUAAGCCAAACACAUCGGCGUCAGCGCCGAGCACUGCGUCACUCCCUAAAUAUUGUUUAAUGUAAGUCCUGAUUAUUGAGUUAUUAUAACAAAUCUAUUUACAAACAGCACGUAAAUAGGUUUCUUUAGGAGCCUUGAAUGAAUCUUGUUUAAAAGUCAUUAAGUAUAUCUACUGAAGAUUAAAAGAUACUGAGUAUACGAGUAUUCGCAAGUUACUUACACAUGUGAGACAUCGGCCGGGUUCAGGGGCCAAGUCUCACAUCACUUGAAGUUACCCAUGUAAUGGUUACUGUGGAUGGACAAUGUGGCCGCUACUGUUAUUGUCGAGUCCUCAGUUCGAUCACCUUCGAUUCGAGGAAAUGUUCAAAAUUCUCUAUUGCAUAAAAACUAACUUGUGCUGAGACACUUAGAGCUUCUUAUAAGUCGAGGUACAUUGUUUUAUUGAAUUUAUUUAUUUCUGUUUUAUGGUAUAAGGCGGCAAACGAGUAAAUGGAUCAUCUGAUGGUAAGCAACCUUAGGUAGGUCCGUUAUAUAGCUCUUUCAAGAUAUCUUUUUUCGACAUAGAAUGUAUUCGCAUAAGUAUCUUAAGCCAUUUACAAGAGUGAAAUCCCAUACAUAAGUUGUGGCGAAAUACUACAGCGCGUAGCUCGUUACACGUAGCACUUAUUACUUAACUCGUAGCGCGUAGUACGUAGCUCGUAGGGCGUAGUACGUAGUUCGUAGCGCGUAUACGUAGCUCGUAGGGCGUAGUACGUGGUUCGUAGCGCGUAGUACGUAGCUCGUAGUGCGUAUUACGUAGCCCUCAGAUCGCAGCUCAUAAUACGUAGUGUUUCGGUACACGUUACGGCCUACAGAAUACGACUCUAGUAUUUCGCGAAUAUAUAAAAAGAAGAUUUAGAUAUCAAUUUACAUAUUUUGUGAUCGGAACGCAGGUAGGGUUAGAAAUUGUCCUUUAUUUAAGAUUUGAUUACUUUUUGACCAUGUGGCUAUAUGGUAUCGUGGCAACAUUUUACACAUGAAUACGUUUGUGUGGGAUUAUUGUUUCAAUGUCUAGGCGAGACGAGUGCACGCACGUAUACAAUCCAGCGCGUGUUUGUGUGCAAGCAGGGACUGCUGGCUGUUUGUAGGAUCACUCAUCUGUUUGAUAUAGGACUAGGAGAGCUUGUAGCACUGUCUGUUGAUCCAAGUCAUAUAGUGUUGUGCAAUUUUUAGUUUUCCUCCUUUCUCAAAUCUGGUUUUACU
Long non-coding RNA from Spodoptera frugiperda (fall armyworm), 1771 nucleotides. RefSeq lists it as uncharacterized. NCBI's taxonomy places the organism in Eukaryota, Metazoa, Arthropoda, Insecta, Lepidoptera, Noctuidae. The record is from RefSeq and is a predicted model, not a curated record. The transcript is spliced from 2 exons.